AACGAACGCUGGCGGCGUGCCUGAGACAUGCAAGUCGUGGGAGAAAGUCGGAGCAAUCCGGCUAGUAAACCGGCGCACGGGUGAGUAACACGUGGACAACCUGCCUUGGAGUUCGGGAUAACCCGUCGAAAGACGGACUAAUACCGGAUAUGACCACGGGGAUUCGCUCUCUGAGGUAAAAGAUGGCCCCUGCUCCUGCAAGCUAUCUCUUCGAGAGGGGUCCGCGUCCUANCAGCUAGUUGGUGAGGUAACGGCUCACCAAGGCUAAGACGGGUAGCUGGUCU
This 284-nucleotide ribosomal RNA is filed under the name uncultured bacterium. RNAcentral describes it as "partial 16S ribosomal RNA". It matches the Rfam family "Bacterial small subunit ribosomal RNA", at positions 29 to 293 of the family's 1533-position model. The record is from RNAcentral.